Molecule: ribosomal RNA, 253 nt
Filed under: uncultured bacterium
Lineage: Bacteria
Description: partial 16S ribosomal RNA
Rfam family: Bacterial small subunit ribosomal RNA
Source: RNAcentral
UACGUAGGGGGCUAGCGUUGUCCGGAUUUAUUGGGCGUAAAGCGCGUGUAGGCGGCCAGAUAGGUCUGCUGUGAAAACUCGAGGCUCAACCUCGAGCUGUCGGCGGAAACCAUCCGGCUAGAGUCCGGAAGAGGAGAGUGGAAUUCCCGGUGUAGCGGUGAAAUGCGUAGAUAUCAGGAGGAACACCUGCGGUGUAGACGGCUUACUGGACCAUAACUGACGCUGAGGCACGAAAGCGUGGGUAGCAAACAGG